Molecule: ribosomal RNA, 253 nt
Filed under: uncultured bacterium
Lineage: Bacteria
Description: partial 16S ribosomal RNA
Rfam family: Bacterial small subunit ribosomal RNA
Source: RNAcentral
UACGUAGGGUCCGAGCGUUGUCCGGAGUUACUGGGCGUAAAGGGCGCGCAGGUGGCGGUGUUGGCCCGGCGUGAAAGCCCCCGGCUCAACUGGGGAGGGUCACUUGAUACUGAUCGACUCGAAGGCAGGAGAGGGAAGCGGAAUUCCCGGUGUAAUGGUGAAAUGCGUAGAUAUCGGGAGGAACACCAGUGGCGAAGGCGGCUUGCCAGAACGCGCUCGACGGUGAGGGAUGAAAGCUGGGGGAGCAAACCGG